Molecule: ribosomal RNA, 603 nt
Filed under: Melampsora laricis-populina
Lineage: Eukaryota; Fungi; Basidiomycota; Pucciniomycetes; Pucciniales; Melampsoraceae
Description: Melampsora larici-populina partial large subunit ribosomal RNA
Source: RNAcentral
AAUAGCGGAGGAAAAGAAAAUACUAUGAUUCCCUUAGUAACGGCGAGUGAACAGGGAAAAGCCCAAAUUUGUAAUCUGGCACUUUUUACAAGUGUCCGAGUUGUAAUUUGUAGAACUGUUAUCCGYGCUGGACCAUGUACAAGUCUGUUGAAAAGCAGCAUCAUUGAAGGUGAAAAUCCUGUAGAUGAUAUGGACUACCAGUGCAUUUGUGAUACGGUUUCUAAGAGUCGAGUUGUUUGGGAAUGCAGCUCAAAGUGGGUGGUAAAUUCCAUCUAAGGCUAAAUAUAAGUGAGAGACCGAUAGCAAACAAGUACCGUGAGGGAAAGAUGAAAAGAACUUUGAAAAUAGAGUUAACAGUACGUGAAAUUGCUGAAAGGGAAACGUUUGAAGUUAGUUUUGUAUUCGUUGGAUCAGCUUCGCAAGGAGUGUAUUCUGAUGAUAAGCAAGUCAACAUCAAUCUAUGAGUGUCGGAGAAGGGUUUUGAGAAUGUAGCAAUUUUUAUUAAUUGUGUUAUAGCUUGAGACUUGGAUACGAUGCUUUGGAUUGAGGAACGCGUAGUAAGCUUUGAGCGGAUUCGAAAGGAUCUCCUUACUAUGGAUGUUG